RNAcentral lists this transfer RNA (66 nucleotides) under Kozhantshikovia vernalis. RNAcentral describes it as "tRNA-Asn". The record is from RNAcentral. Lineage: Eukaryota; Metazoa; Arthropoda; Insecta; Lepidoptera; Psychidae.
UUAAUUGAAACCAAAUCAGAGGUAUAUCACUGUUAAUGAUAUUAUUGAAACAAAUUUCCAAUUAAA